Molecule: unclassified non-coding RNA, 180 nt
Filed under: uncultured Rhizobiaceae bacterium
Lineage: Bacteria; Pseudomonadati; Pseudomonadota; Alphaproteobacteria; Hyphomicrobiales; Rhizobiaceae
Description: partial 16S-23S ribosomal RNA intergenic spacer
Source: RNAcentral
AUGGCACCAGUACAGGUGACCAUCGAAACGCAAUACGCCGCGUAGACUUCGGUCACGACGGUAUGGCGAGCUUUCGCCGUCCACGUUUCCCUUUCUUCAAGAAGACAAAAACCGCGUCGACCGGUUCCCCGAAUGGGCCCGUAGCUCAGUUGGUUAGAGCACACGCNUGAUAAGCGUGGG